RNAcentral lists this ribosomal RNA (460 nucleotides) under uncultured bacterium. Its description in RNAcentral is "partial 16S ribosomal RNA". It matches the Rfam family "Bacterial small subunit ribosomal RNA", at positions 338 to 795 of the family's 1533-position model. The record is from RNAcentral.
CCUACGGGGGGCAGCAGUGAGGAAUAUUGGUCAAUGGGCGUAAGCCUGAACCAGCCAAGUCGCGUGAGGGAUGAAGGUUCUAUGGAUCGUAAACCUCUUUUAUAAGGGAAUAAAGUGUGGGACGUGUCCUGUUUUGUAUGUACCUUAUGAAUAAGGAUCGGCUAACUCCGUGCCAGCAGCCGCGGUAAUACGGAGGAUCCGAGCGUUCUCCGGAUUUAUUGGGUUUAAAGGGUGCGUAGGCGGCCUUUUAAGUCAUCGGUGAAAGUCUGUGGCUCAACCAUAGAAUUGCCGUUGAAACUGGGAGGCUUGAGUAUGUUUGAGGCAGGCGGAAUGCGUGGUGUAGCGGUGAAAUGCUUAGAUAUCACGCAGAACCCCGAUUGCGAAGGCAGCCUGCCAAGCCAUGACUGACGCUGAUGCACGAAAGCGUGGGGAUCAAACAGGAUUAGAUACCCGGGUAGUC